RNAcentral lists this ribosomal RNA (305 nucleotides) under uncultured bacterium. RNAcentral describes it as "bacterial SSU rRNA". It matches the Rfam family "Bacterial small subunit ribosomal RNA", at positions 333 to 635 of the family's 1533-position model. The record is from RNAcentral.
GGUUACCUACGGGGGGCAGCAGUGAGGAAUAUUGGUCAAUGGGCGAAAGCCUGAACCAGCCAUGCCGCGUGCAGGAAGACGGCUCUAUGAGUUGUAAACUGCUUUUGUACGAGGGUAAACACAGAUACGUGUAUCUGCUUGAAAGUAUCGUACGAAUAAGGAUCGGCUAACUCCGUGCCAGCAGCCGCGGUAAUACGGAGGAUCCAAGCGUUAUCCGGAUUUAUUGGGUUUAAAGGGUGCGCAGGCGGUUUAGUAAGUCAGCGGUGAAAUUUUGGUGCUCAACACCAAACGUGCCGUUGAUACUG